AGCUAUAUAUUAAAGAGAUUUAUUUAUAUAAAUAGGUUUGCUAGCUGAUUGUGUAUAUACGCAGGCCAAUGCUUCUAAUUUCAUAGCAAGUUCGCUUGCUAUGAAAUAGGCAACCUGUAAUAUAAGCAAGUGUGUGCUAUUUAUAGCGCUAGCCUACAAACCUAUAAUUAUAUUAACUCUAAGAGAAAUUUAAUAAUAAACGAAGUGAAUUGAAAUAUCUUAGUAACUUUAGGAAAAGAAAUCAAAAGAGAUUCUAUGAUUAGCGUGAGCUAAAAUAGACUAGCCUAAAAAGUCAAAUGGUGGAUAAACUGUUUAAAUUAAAUGGGGAACCUUCCUCAAAGGCUAAAUAUAAUAUAUAAGCGAUAGUGGAAAGUACCGUGAGGGAACCAAAACAAAAACAGUGAUUUUAUAAGCAGUUCGGGAAAAUAAAAAAAGUUAGAACGUACCUUUUGCAUAAUGGGUCACCAAGUUAACAUUAGAUGCGAGUAGGAGGGAGCUUUAUAAAAAAAAAAUAUAUUUUUUUUUUAUAGCCCCGUGCAUACGUAGUUAAACCGAGCGUUAAAAUAACGGUAAGUAUCUAAAGUUAGACCCGAAGCCUGGUGAUUUUACCAUAAUCAGGAUUAUAAAAGUCCGAACGGAAUAUUGUAGCAUAAAUAUCCGAAGAAUUAUGGUAGGUGUAGUGAAAGACAAUACUGACCAGGAUAGCUGGUUUUCUGCGAAACCUAUAACAGUAGGCAAUUUAAGUAUAAUAUCUUAGCAGGUACAGAAUUUAAUCUCAGACAAGACAUAAGGCUUUACUUGCUAGCAAGUAAAGCUCAUGUUUUAUUUUGUACAAAUUGGGGGAUCAUGAAGAUUUUAUCAGUGAGUAUGUAGACUCGGAAUGGCAAAGAUAUAUCUUAAAUCAUCAGACAUAGAAUGAUAAGGUUGUAUGUCAAAAGGGAAACAGCCCAGAACAAGAGUUAAGGUUCCUAAAUUAUUAGUUGAGUGAAAUUAAGAAGGUUUUUAUUAAAGUCGACAAGGAGAUAGGCUUAGAAGCAGCCAUAAUUUUAUGACCUCGUAACAGAGCGCUUGUUAAGUUUUAAAAGCAUCGAAAAUUUAUCGGAUCUAAACAAUAUACCGAAACCUUGUCCAUAUUAUUUUAUAAUUAAAGCUUAAUUAUAAUUAAAUGGGGUAGCAGAACGUUGAGCUAAAUUAAGAUUUUUAUUUUUUAAAUGAAAUUAUAAUAAUUUAACUCAAGUGAUAAUGGUGACAUGAGUAACUAAAAGAAAAAAUAAAAUUUUUCCGCCUAAAGCUUAUGGAUGUAAUUAAGUAACGGCCUCUAAGUUUAUAUUAUCUAAAGAUUUAAACGAUGAGAUAAUCUUUUGUACUAAGGACGACAUUUUAAGUGAAAAAUGUACUGGAAAAAUAGUACUAAAUUAAUGGCUAUAGCUAAUUAGGGCUAUAGCUAUAAAUGAAAAGUAACCGUACCUAGAAUCUGAAACAAGUAAGCUAGUAGAGAAUACGAAGGCGUAAAUGAGCUAACAAUCAUAAAGGAACUCGGCAAAUUGACUACCGUAACUUCGGGAUAAGGAGAGCUCAUUAUUCUUGAUUAAUAUCAGGUAAAGAGGAAGAAGCAUGAAAUAGUGUUGUACGACUGUUUAAUUAAAACACAGCACUUUGCUGAAAGAUUAAAAAUCUAAGUAUAGAGUGUGAUGUCUGCCCGGUGCCGGCUGGUUAACAGAUAUAAUUAAAUAUACUAAUAUUUGAUGUAGACGGAAACCCCGGUUAAAGGCGGCCUUAACGUGAGGGUCCUAAGGUAGCGAAAUGCCUUGGCCGUUAAAUGCGGUCUUGCAUGAAUGAUGUAACGAUACAACAGCUGUCUCUAUGAUUGACUCAGUGAAAUUGGAAUAGCUGUGCAGAUACAGUUUACCUCUAGUUAGACGAGAAGACCCUAUGCAGCUUUACUGUCACUAAUUAUAGAGUAUGAUAAACAAUUUUCAGAUUAUAAGGUAAUUGACGGCUAGCUUGUUCUGCAAGCUAGCUCUAUGACAAUGAGAAUCCUUUAUUUUUUUUUCAUAUGAAUGAAUUGGUUUAGGAUUAUGAGUAGGUAGCUGCUUCUGCUACUUGGCGCAAGCAUUGCUUGCGUCAGGUGUCUGAAGUAUGCAUUCCAGCUCAUGCAUAGUAAAUCAACCUAAUUCAGCUUAUUUUCCUUUCUGCCAUAAGCGCAUAAUGAUAGAUUUAACUUAAAUUUUGAUUUAUGCCGAGCCCCUCCGGGGCUACUGCAGAAAUAGAUAAGUACCCUUGGCUAAGGAACUAUCGCUAGGGGACAGUUUAUGUGGGGCACAGACCCUGUAAAGAGUAAACAGGAGUGUCUAAUAAUUUAUAAUUAUUUUGUUUGCGAUUUAAGAUAGUGAAACUAUUUUUAAUCAUAUAAAAUUAUUUAUAUGUACAUUCGUUGUAUAUAUAUUUAAAAAAAGGUAGGAUUUUCACUAUAUAGAAAUUAGAGAUAAUAAAAAUAUUAAGAAUAUACUGAAAGGUAGCACUAAUAUUUUUUAGCUAUUAAGACAAGCUAUCAAGCUAGGCUCUAAUAGUUAUGUAUUAAUUAUCUAAAAAGCUCAACGGCUAAAUCUUGCCUUACUGUUUGAUUAUCAACAAAUCUUACAGUUGCGUAAGCAGGGCAUAGGAUCACAAGAUGCAACAAGGAAAGAUCUUGGAUUAUUGGAAAAGCUACGCUAGGGAUAACAGGCUAAUUUGCGCAAGAGUGUACAAAAUGAGUGCGCGGUUUGGCACCUCGAUGUCGGCUUAACUUAUCCUCAUGGAUGCAGGAACUAUGUAGGGUGCGACUGUUCGUCGAUUAAAAAGUUACAUGAGCUGGGUUAAAUACGUCGUGAGACAGUAUGGUUUCUAUCUUCUAGGGGGAAUUAGAAUAUAAUAAGAACUAACUUUUGUACGAAAGGAACAAGAAGAAUUUAAUUUGUAAAAGGGUUAAAUAAUAGUUACUAACCUAUGGUUUACCUGUUGUCUAUGUGCCCAAAUAUUAAAAUAUAUAUAGAGGAAGCUCAUUAAGAGCUUUCCCGCAAAUUAUAUAUAUCUGUAUAGCUAGCCUGCGGACUUCGGUUAUGCCUGAGUUUGGCAAGCUAAAGCUAUACAUAGGGAUGUUUCUUUCACUAAGAUAAAUAUAUAGCAUAGGCACGGCAGGAAAGCUAAGUUGGUUAAGGAUAAGUGCUGAAAGCAUAUAGGCACGAAGCUUAUCUUAAGAUAUUUCUUAAAUAUACGUAAAAUAUUAUUACGAAGGAUGUAAUAUAGGCUUUAUCCGUACGAAUCAGGAGAUUUUUAAGAAUAAAGUACUAAUUUUAUAAAUAACUAUUUAU
This 3350-nucleotide ribosomal RNA is filed under the name Fusarium andiyazi. RNAcentral describes it as "16S ribosomal RNA". It matches the Rfam family "Bacterial large subunit ribosomal RNA". Lineage: Eukaryota; Fungi; Ascomycota; Sordariomycetes; Hypocreales; Nectriaceae. The record is from RNAcentral.